Long non-coding RNA from Lathyrus oleraceus (garden pea), 1070 nucleotides. RefSeq lists it as uncharacterized. The record is from RefSeq and is a predicted model, not a curated record. Lineage: Eukaryota; Viridiplantae; Streptophyta; Magnoliopsida; Fabales; Fabaceae. The transcript has 2 exons.
AGAGGAGGGUGUGUAUAGUAGAAGUUGGCCCUCGGGCCCAAACGUGUGAAAUUUCAAAUGGUUGAGGAACGGGUCUAAGCCCCAACUUUCAGUUCAAAUUCUCAGCUAAAGCAGCACAAAGUCUCAUCGCGUUUUUUCAUUUCACGUUGUCUUCGUCUUCCUCGAGUUCUCUUCCAAAAUCGAUGAAGAAAAAUUGUUCCGAAAUCAUUUUCACCGCCAAAAUCAUAUCGACAUUCAGCUUUUGAUUUUAACUCAACCAGAGCGCGCAAAGUUAAAGAGAAACGAAACCGGAUUGAGGUGAGAAAACUAACCGAAUUGGAGUUGCGACGCAAACACGUAUUGAAUCUUCGGCUUUCACUGAAUUAGAAUUGGUAUAUUGGCGUAAUUUUGAUGAAACAAGUAUCUCUGAAUGAUGUCAGAAGGAAUGUCUUAGCUGCAAACUUAUCAGAAGUUGCCGGUAAGGUACUAUGAUCCUCCCAUUCUCCAGAUACUUUAGCUUCACAAAACCCAUAAACAUUCAACCUCUGUAGUAGACAUUGGUGAUCCAUAUUGGCAUCGGUUAUGGUGGGGAGUAAGGAAUUUAUGCAGGGCAUAUGAGGAACAGGUUCCAAGAUGGAAAGGCGUCGACCAAAUGCCCGUCUAAUUUGGCAUACUCUUCCGACAACAUAAGAGCAAUUAUCAUAUUAUCCUCAACAUCAUGUUGACUACUAAUCGAAGUCUAACUUGAACUUUCACCUUCACCCCAACUCUGAUUUAGUGAUCCAUUCUCAUAUCCGAAACCAAAUCACUUCUCGCCUCUUUAACCUAAACGAAAAAAUCACAGCCGCAAAACAUGCGAUUAUGUUUGGAUUGAGAUGAAUGAAUGUGAAUGCAUUGGUUUAAAAUGUAAAUGGAAUUUGGUUUGGAAUGAAUUUGGUUUGAUGAAAUUGUAAUGUGAUUAUGUAUGUGUCUUGGAAUGGUUUAGGUAAAUGUAUGAAUGCUAGGUCCACGUCUUGGUCAUUUGGUUUGAAAUUGGCAUGGCCUUUGGUUGAUUUAUGCUACUAUGGUACAUGACAGGGUCUAUUUCGUGA